ACGGGAGGCAGCAGUGAGGAAUAUUGGUCAAUGGACGGAAGUCUGAACCAGCCAAGUCGCGUGAAGGAUGAAGGUUCUAUGGAUUGUAAACUUCUUUUGUCUGAGGGUAAAGUGUGGUACGUGUACCAUAUUGCAAGUAUCAGACGAAUAAGCAUCGGCUAACUCCGUGCCAGCAGCCGCGGUAAUACGGAGGAUGCGAGCGUUAUCCGGAUUUAUUGGGUUUAAAGGGUGCGUAGGCGGAAUGUUAAGUCAGUGGUAAAAGCGUGUGGCUCAACCAUACCAAGCCAUUGAUACUGGCGUUCUUGAGUGUAAACGAGGUAGGCGGAAUAUGACAUGUAGCGGUGAAAUGCUUAGAUAUGUCAUAGAACCCCGAUUGCGAAGGCAGCUUACCAGCAUACAACUGACGCUGAGGCACGAAAGCGUGGGUAUCAAACAGGAUUAGAUACCCUGGUA
This 453-nucleotide ribosomal RNA is filed under the name uncultured Porphyromonadaceae bacterium. RNAcentral describes it as "partial 16S ribosomal RNA". It matches the Rfam family "Bacterial small subunit ribosomal RNA", at positions 341 to 792 of the family's 1533-position model. Lineage: Bacteria; Pseudomonadati; Bacteroidota; Bacteroidia; Bacteroidales; Porphyromonadaceae. The record is from RNAcentral. RNAcentral also lists the same sequence under 1 other name.